GCAGCAGUAAGGAAUAUUGGUCAAUGGGCGGAAGCCUGAACCAGCCAUGCCGCGUGCAGGAAGACGGCCCUACGGGUUGUAAACUGCUUUUGUACCGGAAUAAACCUUCUUUCGUGAAAGAAGCUGAAUGUACGGUAAGAAUAAGGAUCGGCUAACUCCGUGCCAGCAGCCGCGGUAAUACGGAGGAUCCAAGCGUUAUCCGGAUUUAUUGGGUUUAAAGGGUGCGUAGGCGGCCUGUUAAGUCAGGGGUGAAAGACGGUAGCUCAACUAUCGCAGUGCCCUUGAUACUGAUGGGCUUGAAUGUACUUGAGGUAGGCGGAAUGUGACAAGUAGCGGUGAAAUGCAUAGAUAUGUCACAGAACACCAAUUGCGAAGGCAGCUUACUAAAGUAUGAUUGACGCUGAGGCACGAAAGCGUGGGGAUCAAACAGGAUUAGAUACCCUGGUAGUCCACGCCCUAAACGAUGAACACUCGAUGUUGGCGAUAUACGGUCAGCGUCUAAGCGAAAGCGUUAAGUGUUCCACCUGGGGAGUACGCCCGCAAGGGUGAAACUCAAAGGAAUUGACGGGGGCCCGCACAAGCGGAGGAGCAUGUGGUUUAAUUCGAUGAUACGCGAGGAACCUUACCCGGGCUUGAAAGUUAGUGAAUGUGACAGAGACGUCACAGUCCUUCGGGACACGAAACUAGGUGCUGCAUGGCUGUCGUCAGCUCGUGCCGUGAGGUGUUGGGUUAAGUCCCGCAACGAGCGCAACCCCUAUGUUUAGUUGCCAGCAUUUAAGGUGGGGACUCUAAACAGACUGCCUAUGCAAAUAGAGAGGAAGGAGGGGA
Molecule: ribosomal RNA, 828 nt
Filed under: Sphingobacteriaceae bacterium 27E(2013)
Lineage: Bacteria; Pseudomonadati; Bacteroidota; Sphingobacteriia; Sphingobacteriales; Sphingobacteriaceae
Description: bacterial SSU rRNA
Rfam family: Bacterial small subunit ribosomal RNA
Source: RNAcentral